Molecule: long non-coding RNA, 3156 nt
Filed under: Aquilegia coerulea
Lineage: Eukaryota; Viridiplantae; Streptophyta; Magnoliopsida; Ranunculales; Ranunculaceae
Description: long non-coding RNA (ACOE_LNC001916)
Source: RNAcentral
UUUAAAUAAGUCAAAAUUAAAAUAAAUUUUUGAUAAGCAAAUUGUCACAACCAUUAAAAUUACAACCAUAACAAAAUUAAAAUAAUCAUUCUCUGUCUCAACAAAAUUAGUUUUUUUCCAAAGGCACAAUGACUUUUAAGUUCUUGAGGAACCAGUACAACCAAUUUGAAUCAUUCUCUGUCUCAACAACCGCGAUAGCUAAUGUGAAUAAACCUACAAAAAUACAAAGAAAAAAUAUAUUGAUCAACAUAGUAAUCAACUACAAUAAAGGUUGGUCAACUCUAAUACAGGUUGAUAAACAUAAUAAUCAACUAUCUAAACAAAAUAAUAAAAUAGAAACAAAGUUGAUCAAAAUGAUUAUCAAGUCCAAUAUAUAUUGCUCAUCUGUUUACCAACUCAAACAUUUGUUCAAACCCUAAACCUUAAAGCACAACCCUAAAUUUAAUCUUGGGUGAUUUAGGUUUUGGUCACCACAUGUUAGUAUAAAUUAGGUUUUGGAGCUGGUUUUUAUCUUUAUUAGGGUUUGGCCAUCAACCGGGACUUAACCCAAACAAUAAUUUGAAAUGGCCGAAAUACCCCUAUCUACAUAGCACGUGAAAUACAGAGUCCUUUGGAAUCCAAAGCUGAAGAAUGAAGAUGACUACCAGCAAUCUUUGGUCUUUUUUUACUCUUCAACCAGAAAUCCAAAUUAAACUAUUUUUUUGCUUUUUCUCAAUUUCUUUGAAACGCUUGAAUAAAUUAUCUAAAAUACUCUAUGGUUUCAUUACUCUUUAACAAACCCCUCAAACAACCCAACAGCUUUGCCACAAACCCCGUUUUGGAACAACCAUAAAGAAUUCCAAAAACUAAAUCUCUUUCUGAAAUUUCAUCAAACACAUUCCGUACAAACCCCAAUUCAUUACACCUUGCCUACAUAGUGAUCAAUGAGUGAACAAUAUGAGAAUCAGAUUGUAACCCAAUCUUUAUUAUCUAAGAAUGAGUUGUUCUACCAUGAUUUAAAGAAAGAUUAUUAGCACAAGAGUUAAGUAAAAAUGGGUAAGUGAAAUUAUUUGGUUUUAUGCCUUACCACUUCAUUUGGAAGUAGAGUUGAAGAGGAAAUUGAUGCCAAGUCACAGACUUCUUAAUUUCCUUAAUGGGUUUCAAAAAGAAAAAGAGAAAACGCGAUUGAAUCGAUUCAAGUUUAAUAGGCGAAGCAAUUGAAGAAUGGUUUUCGAAUCGAUGAUUAUGGUGAGGAAACUAUAGAAAAAUAAGAAGAAAAGUGAAGAAAAAAUUGUUUUGGAAAGUAUUGAUUUAAGAUGAAAGAAAGCUUUUCCAGAGAGCUUUAAUGGUGGAAUGCUUGUGUAUAGACUUUCCCUUGCUUCUGAAAUCAAAUUGCUCCACUUUUCUACAAAGCUUGAUUUCGUCUUCAUGUCUCAUACCCACCAUUGCAAAGGAUCAACUCAAUUUCGUCUCGUCUUCAGAUCAUUUACCCAUUUAGGUAUUGUAUAAGGCUAUAAGCAUUAUGGUGAUCAUUUAUGGGUGUUUGCUAGAGCUUCGUGAUAACUAGUAGAGCUUAUGGCACUUUAUAUUUCAAUAUUAUGUUUUACAGUAGCUUUAAAGUUUUUUCGUGCAGGUCACGUGUUUUAUCAGGGGUAAUAUCAGGUAUUUCAAAAAAAAUCUCGGUUAAACCGGGUUUUUUUAGUUGUUGGUUCAAAAAUGAUGGCCAAACCCUAAUAAAGAUAAAAACCAACUCCAAAACCUAAUUUAUACUAAUAUGUGGUGACCAAAACCUAAAUCACCCUUUAAUCUUUCUAAAACCCUAAACCAAUGGGAAUGGUGAACCCUAGUGGAAUGUUGUCUUAAGUACACCUUAAAUUCCAUGUAUCUAAAUGCGAUUUUCUAAACCCCUAAACUAAUGGAAAUGGUGAACCCUAGUAAUAUUGUCUUAAGUACAUCUUAAUGUUGUCAUUUUAAACACCCAAACCAAUGGGAAUAGUGAACCCUAGUGGAACGUGGUCUUAGGUACACCCUAAUGUUGUCAUUCUAAACCCAUAAACCAAUGGGAAUGGCGAACCCUAGUGGAAUGAUGUCUUAAGUACAUCUUAAAUGUCAUGUAUCUAAAUGCGAUAUUUUAUAAAACCCUAAACCAAUGGGAAUGACAAACCCUAGUGGAAUGUUGUCUUAAGUACAGCUCAAAAUCCUAGACCCUAAAAUGCAUAACCUUCCAAUAUCUAAAAACUCAAGCAACUAAUAUUAUUUAGUUGAUCAACAUGAUGAUCAACUCCAAUAUCUUUUGAUAGACAUGUUGACCAACUCUGGCAAUUCAAAGCAACUAACAUUAUGUAGUUCAUGUUCAUCAACAUGUUGAUAAACUCCAAUAGUUGUUGAUAGGCAUGUUGAUCAAAUCAAACCGAAUUCAUCAAAUUAAUAAAAAUAAAAAAUCACAAACAUCGUAAACAAUCUUGUGUUUUUUAUCAUCAUGUGUUAUCAACUGUUGUGCUAUAAUAAGUGUUAAGUUGAUGUAUAAGUUGAUCAAAUCAGUAUAUGUAUAUUAAUCAACCCAGUAUUUGUUGAUCAACAUAUUGAUUAACCUUAACAUGUAAAACAAUUAUUAUAUUGGUUGAUCAACAUAUUGAUUGUAUAUUGGUAGAUCAACAUAUUAAUCAACUAUUGUAUAAGUUGAUGAAAUCAAUAUAUGUAUAUGUCGAUCAACAUAUUGAUCAACUUGAAAUUGGUUGAUCAACAUAUUGAUCAACUUGUUAGCAAUACAUACAUCAUCAUGAGAUGUCAGGAGAAUAAAAAACAUUAUGAACACAUUCAACAAAAGUUUAAUUGAAGAAAACCUAAUCCAAUCCAACAAGAAGAACAAAAAAUAACAAAAACACCAAAUUCAAUUGCAAAGUUUGAUAAACAAAUUGAACAAACAAAAUCAUAAAUAAAAUUAAAUUCAUCAUACUAAAAGCUAAUUAAUGAAAAAAAUCCAAAAACAAAAUAAGUUGAAUAGACAAAAUCAUGAUGUUUGCUUCAUCAACAAUGAAAAACUAACCUUGAUGUUCCAUUCAUUAACCUUGAUGUUCACUUCAUCAAUAGAACAAAAAACAACAAUCUCAAAUCUCUAAAGAAAAAUCUUCUUCUUCGCCUUCUUCUUCUUCGUAAAGUUUAGGAGUGAAAUUCAAA